GACGAACGCUGGCGGCGUGCUUAACACAUGCAAGUCGAGCGGAAAGGCCCUUUCGGGGGUACUCGAGCGGCGAACGGGUGAGUAACACGUGAGUAAUCUGCCCCUGGCUUUGGGAUAGCCACCGGAAACGGUGAUUAAUACCGGAUACGACCACUUCUCGCAUGGGAUGGUGGUGGAAAGUUUUUCGGCCAGGGAUGUGCUCGCGGCCUAUCAGCUUGAUGGUGGGGUAAUGGCCCACCAUGGCUUCGACGGGUAGCCGGCCUGGGAGGGUGGCCGGUGACACUGGGACUGAGACACGGCCCAGAGUCCUACGGGAGGCAGCAGUGGGGAAUAUUGGACAAGGGGCGGAAGCCUGAUCCAGCAACGCCGCGGGAGGGAUGGCGGCCUUCGGGUUGUAAACCUCUUUCAGCAGGGACGAAGCGCAAGUGACGGUACCUGCAGAAGAAGCACCGGCCAACUACGUGCCAGCCGCCGCGGUAA
This 480-nucleotide ribosomal RNA is filed under the name uncultured bacterium. RNAcentral describes it as "partial 16S ribosomal RNA". It matches the Rfam family "Bacterial small subunit ribosomal RNA", at positions 28 to 523 of the family's 1533-position model. The record is from RNAcentral.